Nerophis ophidion (straightnose pipefish) is the source of this 268-nucleotide long non-coding RNA. RefSeq lists it as uncharacterized. The transcript has 4 exons. The record is from RefSeq and is a predicted model, not a curated record. NCBI's taxonomy places the organism in Eukaryota, Metazoa, Chordata, Actinopteri, Syngnathiformes, Syngnathidae.
GAUUAGAUGAGGAAGAGGUGUGUUACCUGCUGCUAAGGUGCUCACCUGUCCGUGUUUGUGUUCCUCGGCGUCUGAGAGCACUUCUCGCGGUCUACAUUGGCUGUCAAAGUUGACCAACUUGUCAGAUUAUGUCCACAACCUUCGACUAUCCAGGUCUACAUUGGCUGUCAAAGUUGACCAACUUGUCAGAUUAUGUCCACAACCUUCGACUAUCCAGCAGGUGUGGUUCUACAGCAGCAAGGGGCUGGACCAGGACUGAGUAUGUGAG